CUGGAUUGGAACUGCAACAGAAAAUCUUCCAGUGACAGCACAAAUGAUAGAAUAAUUCAGUUGUGACAGGAGCUCACAAGGGGACACACUUGUCAAUGGGCCCAUCUGUCUGCUGCCACUCUCCAUCCCUUACAAUGCCCUGCUACUGAGAAUGAUACCAGCUGAAGGAAUGACACUCGCUCAUCCAUGUCCCAAAUGGGGUGAAGGGAGGCCCUGGAGAUGCAUGAACUGGUGCAUUAGUAGAAGAAACAGUCACCAGAAGAGCAAGUGACGACUCUAGAACUUUCAGAUCCCGGGGUAACUGCAGCUCCUCAUCCUGCUUGUG
RNAcentral lists this long non-coding RNA (325 nucleotides) under Homo sapiens (human). RNAcentral describes it as "HSALNT0043277". The record is from RNAcentral. Lineage: Eukaryota; Metazoa; Chordata; Mammalia; Primates; Hominidae.